This 253-nucleotide ribosomal RNA is filed under the name uncultured bacterium. Its description in RNAcentral is "partial 16S ribosomal RNA". It matches the Rfam family "Bacterial small subunit ribosomal RNA", at positions 524 to 776 of the family's 1533-position model. The record is from RNAcentral.
UACAGAGGGUGCGAGCGUUAAUCGGAAUUACUGGGCGUAAAGCGCGCGUAGGCGGCUUUGCAAGUCGGGUGUGAAAUCCCCAGGCUUAACCUGGGAACUGCAUUCGAGACUGCAUUGCUAGAGUAUGGGAGAGGGAAGUGGAAUUUCCGGUGUAGCGGUGAAAUGCGUAGAUAUCGGAAGGAACAUCAGUGGCGAAAGCGACUUCCUGGACCAAUACUGACACUCAGGUGCGACAGCGUGGGGAGCAAACAGG